Molecule: ribosomal RNA, 492 nt
Filed under: uncultured bacterium
Lineage: Bacteria
Description: partial 16S ribosomal RNA
Rfam family: Bacterial small subunit ribosomal RNA
Source: RNAcentral
AGUGAACGCUGGCGGUAGGCCUAACACAUGCAAGUCGAACGGCAGCACAGUAAGAGCUUGCUCUUACGGGUGGCGAGUGGCGGACGGGUGAGGAAUACAUCGGAAUCUACUUUUUCGUGGGGGAUAACGUAGGGAAACUUACGCUAAUACCGCAUACGACCUACGGGUGAAAGCAGGGGAACUUCGGACCUUGCGCGAUUGAAUGAGCCGAUGUCGGAUUAGCUAGUUGGCGGGGUAAAGGCCCACCAAGGCGGCGAUCCGUAGCUGGUCUGAGAGGAUGAUCAGCCGCACUGGAACGGGGACACGGACCAGGCUCCUACGGGAGGCAGCAGUGGGGAAUAUUGGACAAUGGGCGCAAGCCUGAUCCAGCCAUACCGCGUGGGUGAAGAAGGCCUUCGGGUUGUAAAGCCCUUUUGUUGGGAAAGAAAAGCAGCAGGUUAAUACCCCGCUGUUCUGACGGUACCCAAAGAAUAAGCACCGGCUAACUUCGUG